Molecule: ribosomal RNA, 1424 nt
Filed under: uncultured organism
Description: 16S ribosomal RNA
Rfam family: Bacterial small subunit ribosomal RNA
Source: RNAcentral
CAAGUCGAACGAGAACUCUUUGAGCUUGCUCGAAGAAAGUAAAGUGGCGCCCGGGUGAGUAACGCGUGAGUAAUCUGUCUUCAAAUUCGGGAUAACCCGCCGAAAGGGGUGCUAAUACCGGAUAACAUCAUGUACGCUGAGGUGUAUGUGAUCAAAGGUAGCCUCUACAAGUAAGCGACUGUUUGGAGAUGAGCCUGCGUACCAUUAGUUAGGUGGCGGGGUAACAGCCCACCAAGGCGACGAUGGUUAGCUGGUCUGAGAGGAUGAUCAGCCACACUGGAACUGACACACGGUCCAGACUCCUACGGGAGGCAGCAGUGAGGAAUUUUGCGCAAUGGGCGGAAGCCUGACGCACCAACGCCGCGUGAGUGAAGAAGGCCUUCGGGUCGUAAAGCCUUGUCAAAUGGGAAGAACCUGUGCAUGGAAAACAAGUGUGCACACUGACGGUACCUUUGAAGGAAGCACCGGGCUAACUCCGUGCCAGCGGCCGCGGUAAUACGGGGGGGUGCGAGCGUUAUUCGGAAUUAUUGGGCGUAAAGAGCACGUAGGCCGGAAGUGCAAAGUCAGGUGUGAAAACCCGGGGCUUAACCCUCGGAAGCGCAUUUGAAACUGUGCUGCUUGAGUAUGGGAGAGGGAAGUGGAUUUCCUGGGUAGCGGUGAAAAUGCGUAGAUAUCAGGAGGAACACCGGUGGCGAAGGCGACUUCCUGGAACAAAUACUGACGCUGAGGUGCGAAGGCGUGGGUAGCAAACAGGAUUAGAUACCCCGGGUAGUCCACGCAGUAAACGGUGAUCACUAGGUGUAGCGGGUAUUGACCCCUGCUGUGCCGCAGUUAACGCAUUAAGUGAUCCGCCUGGGGAGUACGGCCGCAAGGUUAAAACUCAAAGGAAUUGACGGGGGCCCGCACAAGCGGUGGAGCAUGUGGUUUAAUUCGACGCAACGCGAAGAACCUUACCUGGAUUUGACAUCUGCGGGAGUGCUAUGAAAGUAGGAUGUGCCCUUCGGGGAGCCGCAAGACAGGUGCUGCAUGGCUGUCGUCAGCUCGUGUCGUGAGAUGUUGGGUUAAGUCCCGCAACGAGCGCAACCCUUGUCUUUAGUUACCAGCAUUUCGGAUGGGGACUCUAAAGAAACCGCCCCGGUUAACGGGGAGGAAGGUGGGGAUGACGUCAAGUCCUCAUGGCCUUUAUGUCCAGGGCUACACACGUGCUACAAUGGGUUGUACAAAGGGUAGCGAGCCUGUGAAGGAGAGCCAAUCCCAUAAAGCAGCCCCAAGUUCGGAUUGGAGUCUGCAACUCGACUCCAUGAAGCUGGAAUCGCUAGUAAUCGCGGAUCAGCAUGCCGCGGUGAAUACGUUCCCGGGCCUUGUACACACCGCCCGUCACACCAUGAGAGUUGGUUGUACCCGACGUCACCGGGCUAACCUUU